UCCGAAAAGUGCGGUGUCCUGGUGUUCCACGGGAGGGGAGGAGGAAGGUGCCUCGCUUUUCCAACGCCCUCUCCCUAGUCCCCCCCUACCCCCUUCCCCCGUGCGGCGCUCCCACGCUGAGUCGCUGACCAGUGCCUCGGCCUCCCCUGACGUCUCGCGCCAUCUCGUCUCCGCUCGCAUCCUCCUCACUCGUCGCGUGCGCCGCUAGCCCAGCGGCCCACUCGAGUCGGAUCGAGCGCCGGGGGACGGCAUGGCCGGCGACGACGGCAGCAGCGCGGGAGCGGGCGGGAGAAGAGGCGGCACGGAAGAUGAGGUCCAGAUACAGAUCGCAGGAUCAUCCAAACCUAAAACUUCUUCUACUAACGAAACAGCUACCCAAAGCUCUCCUACCAAGCAUUGGCAUUGGUGGUUGAUGAUUGUUCUAAACAUUUUCUUCCUCAUUGCUGGUCAGACAGCAUCAACACUCCUUGGGAGGUUCUACUACAACCAGGGUGGAAAUAGCAAGUGGAUGUCAACAUUUGUCCAAACUGCUGGCUUUCCUGUGCUAUUCAUCGCCCUAUAUCUGUUUCAUUCAAAAUCUACGCAAACAGCCACCACUAGCCCUGAGACUUCUGGCACCAAAAUUACUCUGAUAUAUAUUGCCUUGGGGCUCAUCAUUGCUGCAGACGACUUGAUGUAUUCCUAUGGCCUAUUAUACCUUCCAGUAUCAACGUAUUCGCUCAUAUGUGCUAGUCAGCUGGCCUUCAAUGCUGUCUUCUCAUAUUUCCUCAAUGCUCAAAAGUUCACUGCACUGAUUUUCAACUCUGUAGUCCUCCUUACCUUUUCUGCUGCACUCCUUGGAGUUGAUGAAGAUUCUCAGGGCACUAAUGGUUUAUCGCAUGGGAAGUACAUAUUGGGUUUCGUGUUGACGCUAGGAGCAUCAGCCGCAUACUCCCUGAUUCUCUCUUUGAUGCAAGUUACAUUUGAGAAGGUUAUUAAGAGGGAGACUUUCUCAGUCGUCUUGAACAUGCAGAUAUAUACAGCACUUGUGGCAACAAUAGCUUCUCUUAUUGGGUUAUUUGCAAGUGGUGAAUGGAAGAUUUUAGAGGGAGAGAUGCAUGCCUUCGGCUCAGGGAAGCUGUCCUAUGUGAUGACACUUCUGUGGACAGCUAUAUCUUGGCAGAUAGCUUCGGUUGGAGUGGCGGGUUUGAUCUUUGUGGUGUCAUCACUCUUUUCAAAUGUGAUAAGCACACUAGCUCUACCCAUCAUUCCAGUUUUUGCUGUGAUUUUCUUCCACGACAAGAUGGAUGGAGUGAAGAUUAUUGCUAUGUUGAUGGCCAUCUGGGGAUUUAUUUCAUAUGGCUACCAGUUAUAUGUUAAUGACAAGAAAGCUAGGAAGACUUCAGUUAGUGUGGAGGAGAGUUCCUAAGUGCUUGUUACAUUGUUCCCCAUGCUCCUGCCAAAAUAAGUUGUUGGCACUGCAGGGAGUGAGUUUGGGUGGGAAGUUGCUAAUUCAUGUCAUCAGCUAACAACUUUAGUACCACUUCGACUCGUAUUUUUAAGUAAGUUCUUGCCUCAUGUUGACAUAUUGUGCUGCUUGAUCUGAAAAAUCAUGUCGUCAUCACUUUGAAAUUUCUGACCAUGAAAGAACCAAUCGAACAAAUUCUUAUUCUACAUUUGAAAGGUACAGGCUGAAAUAUAAGGUAUGAUUUGAUUUCUCCCGACUCUCUAACAAAAAUUCACAUUCAUAACUUUCUGAGUUUCAUGGUUUCAUAAUGAAUCAGAAUUCCACCAAGAAAUAGAUUCUAUAUGUAUUACUGGCAGAGUAUGGAUGGACAGCAUCUGUGAUUUCUUGAUCCUCAUGCUGAUGAAGCAGUAUCAUGAAUCCUUGCCAACAUGUCUGAAUCAUGAUGUAGCAGGAUACUAAAGAUGUGUAGUUAACUGUGUCAAACUCCGUACAUGAAUAAGAUAAGGAAAAUAUAUAAUUGGAUUUUGUCAGGUCUUAAAGUGGUAGUGCAAGCUAUUAGUUUACUUAUAUUUCGCUAAUCGGCGAUGUUAAAAAUUCAGAAAAGGUGUUUCAUUGUGAUACAUUCAGUGGUUUCAUAUACUUUACCGUUGAAUCGGACUCGGAUAAUCAUCCAUGGUUUCUUAGCUUUUUUGCAACAUCUAUGCGAAACCCAACUGAGCCACAUUGUUUUCAGCUGAACCUAUCUGCGUCCAACUUGGAUUUUACUGUUUCAGAUAUCUCACGGAGAAAAUCUGCAACUGGUGAACCUGAGAUAUUGUAUUGCUAUGGCAUAUUGAACAUGUUUUGGUCAUGAGGAUUCUGCAGCUUGCAUGAGUUGGCUGAUCAUACCAUAACAAUGGACCAUCUUCGUGCUUAUCCUUUGAUUGAUUUCGAUACAACCUUGAACACAAUUAUUAGAUGUUUGCAUUUUUAUGGGUUAUUAAAAUAUAUAUGUAAGCUUAUGAAAUAUUGGGGACUUGGGUUUUUCUGAAUCCAAUGCAAUAAUUGUUUCAGUCCA
Molecule: RNA transcript, 2504 nt
Organism: Panicum virgatum (switchgrass)
Lineage: Eukaryota; Viridiplantae; Streptophyta; Magnoliopsida; Poales; Poaceae
Gene name: probable purine permease 11
Exons: 3
Source: RefSeq, a predicted model, not a curated record